RNAcentral lists this small RNA (573 nucleotides) under Pongo abelii (Sumatran orangutan). Its description in RNAcentral is "retained intron". The record is from RNAcentral. Lineage: Eukaryota; Metazoa; Chordata; Mammalia; Primates; Hominidae.
UUCUUUUACAGCACCUAGGAGAUUGGUUGAAGUCAGAAGCACUCCGGCUUGAAGACUAUAGGUGGAAUGCCGUGUUUCCAAGACUAGGAGAAAACCAUCUGUUCCCCAUUCCCCUAACAGAGCAGCCAGGGCUGGCCUCUAUUCUGUAGCACAGAGCUUUCCAUCCAGUGUGCUGUGGCAGCAUGGGUUCUAGGGACACCAAAAGAAUGAUCGCCUCUGCCUUUGAGAUGGUUAGUAGGUGGCCAGAGCCCCAAGGCCAAGGGUCUUCUGUCACAAGCAGCCUUGUCUAUUUCCUGCACACACUGUACAAAUACCAUCUUUGUUUUCCAAGAUGAGGUGGCUGGAAAUCACUGCUUAGCAGAUCCCUGGAUGUGCCUUCUCUCUCAGAAAGUUCUUAUAGUUCAGAAUCUCUAACUAUGGAUAUAUCUGAUGGGUUGUUUCUGUUUCCCCAGCCUGCCCAGCUGUCUUCCAAGGAGAACGCUCUGGUGUGGAUUGCUGUGAAUGAGGAUGGUGUCAGCAUCCUGGACCACAACACUAUGCAAGUGCACGUCACUUACCCCUACUCUUCAGUGA